GGUGCGGCGUGUGAUGCUGCCCCCGCGCUCUUACUGUUGCCGGCCCCACAGCGAAGCACUGCAGGAGAGGAGACUGAGAAGCCAGCCCUUGGUGCUGGGAGCUGACUGAGCUCUCAGGCUGUCAGGGGGCGGAGCCAAGCUCAGGCAGACGUUAAAGACAGAAGACCCACACUCCGGAGGAGCAGAGGUGACAUGAAGUGUUACGCGAUCUUUGUGUGUUAGUUGUCAUGGUGAUGGGGAGCACUGGACUAGGAUUUGAUUUGACCUGACGUCACUUCCUCCAUGCCGCCCGGAGCGGGCUGCGUCCCACCGUCCAAAUGUUGCCGAGCACAGGGUGAACAUGUCGUAUAUAAGACCCAGGCAUCAUCACCGAGGAUGCCCAGCAGGAACGUGACCAGGAGAACCUUCACACUCCACCUGCAGCCCAUCGAUCCGACUCAGACAACCACGCCGCAGGACAUACCCCAACCACCCCAAACAUCCCACAGCCCCCAAUUGAGCACAACACAAGUUGACACACAAAUGGGCCCUGAGUUUUGGAGCCGUUGGUCGUCACAACAGGCGCAAUACUGCGCAAGCCUCAACACCCACAGCCAAUACCUUUCAAGUCUGCCCCAUCAUUUGCCUAGACUGAGUCGCAACUCAGGCAGACUUAUAGUGCAGGUGGGCCGAAUUGCGAACUCCAUGGAACAGAUGAGGGCAGACAACACCCAAAUGCAGUCAAACCUCCAUAGCAUCUUGGAUGAUCAGCAGCAGCAGCAACAAUCACUUAUACAGAUCAUACAACACAAUCAAAUGAUCAACGACAACCUCUCACGCAUGAUAGCUAACAACACUGCCGCUAACACUCAGCUCAUAGCAAGCUUGAACAAUCUAAGCCAAAGCCUUAGUGUGUUGGCAUCACACCAUGCCACAUCUAGUUCUGGGACAACGACACCAAGCCACACCCCAGUUCAUUCCCCAGUCCGACGCUCAAGUUGAACCCGCACCAACGAGCCAGCACAAUCCUCGGCACCCAGCACACAAAGAAAAAAAUAUUAAUAAUGUUCGGUCAGAAUAUAUUGACCAUUACAGUGUUUUUUCUUUUAGAUUGGUCGCAAAAAGUUGUGUGUUAAAAUUGAUAAAUUGUGAACACGCAA
This is a long non-coding RNA of Pseudophryne corroboree (corroboree frog), 1139 nucleotides long. RefSeq lists it as uncharacterized. NCBI's taxonomy places the organism in Eukaryota, Metazoa, Chordata, Amphibia, Anura, Myobatrachidae. The record is from RefSeq and is a predicted model, not a curated record. The transcript has 3 exons.